AUGCAAUCCCUUGUAUUUUUCUUCCCAAUCCAUUCCUUCAAACAAAUAAAAAUGGAGUAUCAUAGCAACAACCGAAGGUGCUACACUGAACGAAUAGCAUAAAUACAUAAUGGCAAAUUUAAUAAGCGUCUCUCAGAUUUCUCAACAAAAGCAAUGCUAUAGCUAGUUCUGAACACAUUAGAAGUCCGAACUCACCAAAUUCACAAAUGAUGAGCAAACAUGAAAAAUUACACAUGCAAUGACUAGAGCAAACAAGAGCUCAAAUGCUCAAAGUCUAUUCGUAGACCCAGGGGUGAAGGCUGCUUGCCCAGCUAACAGGGCCUUCAGGGAA
RNAcentral lists this unclassified non-coding RNA (331 nucleotides) under Hevea brasiliensis (rubber tree). The record is from RNAcentral. Lineage: Eukaryota; Viridiplantae; Streptophyta; Magnoliopsida; Malpighiales; Euphorbiaceae.